UACGUAGGGGCCGAGCGUUGUCCGGAGUUAUUGGGCGUAAAGCGCGCGCAGGCGGCUUCGCGCGUCCGACGUGAAAGCCCCCGGCUCAACCGGGGAGGGUCGUUGGGUACGGCGGAGCUUGAGGGCGGUAGAGGUUGGUGGAAUUCCCGGUGUAGUGGUGAAAUGCGUAGAGAUCGGGAGGAACACCUGUGGCGAAGGCGGCCAACUGGGCCGACCCUGACGCUGAGGAGCGAAGGCCAGGGGAGCAAACGGG
RNAcentral lists this ribosomal RNA (253 nucleotides) under uncultured bacterium. RNAcentral describes it as "partial 16S ribosomal RNA". It matches the Rfam family "Bacterial small subunit ribosomal RNA", at positions 524 to 776 of the family's 1533-position model. The record is from RNAcentral.